RNAcentral lists this long non-coding RNA (429 nucleotides) under Equus caballus (horse). RNAcentral's name for it is "lncRNA (ENSECAG00000052608.1)". Lineage: Eukaryota; Metazoa; Chordata; Mammalia; Perissodactyla; Equidae. The record is from RNAcentral.
GCCAGCUGAAUUUUCAACAGAGACAAUGAAGCCACAAUACAAUGAUUUGGCAUCUUUAACGUGCUGAAAAUGUCCGCCAACUUAGAAUUCUAUUCCUGUGAAAACACCUGUCAAAACUGAAGUAUAAAGAAAAAAAUAUAUUGUUUCCAGCAGACUUGCCCUACAAAGCAGCUCCUCAGAUGGAAGAAAAAUUAUACCAGGUGGAAACACAGAAAUCAGAAAGGAAGGAAGAGCCUCCGAAAGGGUAAAAUAUACUUAAUUCCCGGUCCGAGGAAGACAACACAAAAGUCUUAUCCAAUCACAGCAUUAAGGUCAAAGUCCACAUAUUGAGUCUGGGUACUUCCUUUGGAUGCAAAGACCCACGAACCAAAAAGAUUACAAUCUGACCCCCAUCUCCGGUGGUGAAAUAGAAAGAAGAUGAUCACACCC